GUCUGAACGUUGAUCCCCUGAAUAAGGGCUAGGGUCUGAACGC
This 43-nucleotide small RNA is filed under the name Sinorhizobium meliloti 2011. RNAcentral's name for it is "putative ncRNA". The record is from RNAcentral. Lineage: Bacteria; Pseudomonadati; Pseudomonadota; Alphaproteobacteria; Hyphomicrobiales; Rhizobiaceae.